GGUAGUGUGGCCGAGUGGUCUAAGACGCUGGAUUUAGGCUCCCGUCUCUGUAGAGGCGUGGGUUCAAAUCCCACCACUGCCA
Non-coding RNA from Oreochromis aureus, 82 nucleotides. NCBI's taxonomy places the organism in Eukaryota, Metazoa, Chordata, Actinopteri, Cichliformes, Cichlidae. The record is from the annotation of a RefSeq genome assembly.